GAAGCUUACUACAAUUGUAUGAAAUAUUUCCACUCAGGUUUAAGUCAACGAAAAAUCCAAGAGUCAAAUAUAAGAUUUUGGUUUAUCGUGCAAUGGCUAAUGCAGCAAUUGGGAUUGGGUUUGAUGAUUUUAUUGUAGAUGCAUUUGUGAGCAUGUUGUAUUCAGGGUUCAGCUCAUUUGUGAUCUCUAUGGAAGGAAAUGCUUCAGAAACACUUUACAAAAUGCUCAUUUUCAUGCCAUGAGUAGGUAUUACAUUAAUCAUGGAAGAUUAAGAAUGGUCUCCCGAAACCAACUUAUGAGUUAACC
This is a long non-coding RNA of Trifolium pratense (red clover), 306 nucleotides long. RefSeq lists it as uncharacterized. The record is from RefSeq and is a predicted model, not a curated record. Lineage: Eukaryota; Viridiplantae; Streptophyta; Magnoliopsida; Fabales; Fabaceae. The transcript is spliced from 4 exons.